UAAUACGUAGGUGGCAAGCGUUGUCCGGAAUUAUUGGGCGUAAAGCGCGCGCAGGCGGUCUUUUAAGUCUGAUGUGAAAGCCCACGGCUCAACCGUGGAGGGUCAUUGGAAACUGGAAGACUUGAGUGCAGAAGAGGAGAGUGGAAUUCCACGUGUAGCGGUGAAAUGCGUAGAUAUAUGGAGGAACACCAGUGGCGAAGGCGGCUCUCUGGUCUGUAACUGACGCUGAGGCGCGAAAGCGUGGGGAGCAAACAGGAUUAGAUACCCUGGUAGUCCACGCCGUAAACGAUGAGUGCUAAGUGUUAGAGGGUUUCCGCCCUUUAGUGCUGCAGCUAACGCAUUAAGCACUCCGCCUGGGGAGUACGACCGCAAGGUUGAA
Molecule: ribosomal RNA, 379 nt
Filed under: uncultured bacterium
Lineage: Bacteria
Description: bacterial SSU rRNA
Rfam family: Bacterial small subunit ribosomal RNA
Source: RNAcentral